UGAAGUCGGAAUUGCUAGUAAUGGCAGGUCAGCAUACUGCCGUGAAUACGUUCCCGGGCCUUGUACACACCGCCCGUCACACCAUGAGAGUUGGGAAUACCCGAAGCCUGUGAGCCAACAAACGAGGCAGCAGUCGAAGGUAGAAUCAAUGAUUGGGGUGAAGUCGUAACAAGGUAGC
Molecule: ribosomal RNA, 178 nt
Filed under: uncultured bacterium
Lineage: Bacteria
Description: partial 16S ribosomal RNA
Rfam family: Bacterial small subunit ribosomal RNA
Source: RNAcentral